RNAcentral lists this ribosomal RNA (484 nucleotides) under uncultured bacterium. RNAcentral's name for it is "partial 16S ribosomal RNA". It matches the Rfam family "Bacterial small subunit ribosomal RNA", at positions 30 to 507 of the family's 1533-position model. The record is from RNAcentral.
AUUGAACGCUGGCGGCAGGCCUAACACAUGCAAGUCGAGCGGAUGAAGGGAGCUUGCUCCUGGAUUCCGCGGCGGACGGGUGAGUAAUGCCUAGGAAUCUGCCUGGUAGUGGGGGAUAACGUCCGGACACGGGCGCUAAUACCGCAUACGUCCUGAGGGAGAAAGUGGGGGAUCUUCGGACCUCACGCUAUCAGAUGAGCCUAGGUCGGAUUAGCUAGUUGGUGGGGUAAAGGCCUACCAAGGCGACGAUCCGUAACUGGUCUGAGAGGAUGAUCAGUCACACUGGAACUGAGACACGGUCCAGACUCCUACGGGAGGCAGCAGUGGGGAAUAUUGGACAAUGGGCGAAAGCCUGAUCCAGCCAUGCCGCGUGUGUGAAGAAGGUCUUCGGAUUGUAAAGCACUUUAAGUUGGGAGGAAGGGCAGUAAGUUAAUACCUUGCUGUUUUGACGUUACCAACAGAAUAAGCACCGGCUAACUUCGUG